CUGGGGAAUCAUCCAAGCCAAACUAAAGCAGUGAGGCGGAAGAGGAAACAGGAGCCAAGGAUUUCCUAAAUACACUGUGAGCUAGAAGGAGCCUCUCAGUUCACCCUGAGGCCAGUCCCUGCAAAUUUAGGACUUCACAUCACACCAGCCAGCCUGCGUUCAAUUCCCUGCCAGAAAAACCACAUUCACCAAAUCUUCCGCAGGGCCCUGGAACCACAGGGGUUGAAAGCGAAUAGUUUUGCAGGCAGAGGAGGAAGAAGCCAGUUUUCUUCUCACAGGCGCGCUAACUCCUUCCUACAUGACGGACACCUGGGAUCCCAAAACAGCUGGGCUGGAAGGGCCCUCGAGAAAGGAACUGCCAACACGUGCCCUGUGUCAGGCCCUGAAGGUGGGCAUUUUCGUGAACAUUGUCAUAACACUCUGCUUCGAGGUAGGUAUCGUUAUCCCCAUUUUUCAGAUGUGAAAAAUCGAGGUUUGGUGACUUCCCAAGGAGGGGUGGGGAUGUUGUAUGACUCCAGAGCCUUUUCCCUGGAGCUCUCCCAACUUGGAAGCUACCGAUUCUCUGAGGUUUGGGGGAACAAGCAUCAGGUGUGAGGCGCCGAAGCUUUCCAAGGGACAACAGCGUGACAGUAGUUUCGGCAAGAACCACGCCUCCCUUGUCGCCACACACUGAUUACUGUUGCUUUCCUUUAAGAGCCUUCCCCUGAAAGAUGAAGUCCUCGCCACACGGGGAGGCAGAAUAGAUUCCUGGAUCUCUCGGACGUCUUUUCUCCCUCACCCUCAUUGAUCCCCACUGGCGACAGAAAUUCUUCCCCUCCACUAGCGAGUGAAGGCACGAGACUACAUUUCCCUGGAGGUCGUCAGAAGCGGGUGGCGAGGAGAGAAGGAAACAGACUCUCCGUUUCUGUCUGCUCUCAAUAUGGACUGUCGGCGGUGAUGCACAUUUCAAUAGCGCACGUCCUUCCUCUGUUGAGCUGAGGGGACCACUUCCCCCAGCAGGCACUCGAGCAGAGAAUGUGCUAGGCCGCCAUGGUUAUUGACGUCCUUUCUCCUAUUUUCACAGGCAGUAGCCUUAGUGCAUGAACUACAAGUCCCAGGAAACCGUCUCUUCUUUCGUCCAGCGGCCAUCUUUGCUGGUAGACCCCGCCCUUUCCCCCCCUUCUAUUGUCUCGUCAAAGAUAAUAGAAGGGAGCCGGGAAGACUGCAACUCCCGUCAAGCUUUGCGCCAACAGGAGGGGAAUUUCGAUAUUACAGGCGGGCGAGGUGCCAAGGUAGUAUAGUGAGGCGAUCGGGAGAAGCUAGGUUGCCUGCCAUUUUUAUGGUAGUCCCCAUAUCCUCUUGGUCCUGCCUUCUAGAACUCUAGAAGGCUAGGUGGGAACAUCGCACCUCGUAAGAUGGACUACUAAGCAGGUGUCCACCCCCUCCUCCGCCAUCUUGUUUGUAGUCGUCAUUCGCACGCCUGUACGCUCUGCAACCGGGAACCUUGGGGCAGCCAGACUAUAACUCCCAGCAUCCUCCACUCCCGGUUUGGCACGUCCUCCGUCAUCUUGUUUGUAGUUCCCACUGACCGCACCAUCCCAUUGAUCCCACGGUA
Molecule: long non-coding RNA, 1594 nt
Filed under: Bos mutus (wild yak)
Lineage: Eukaryota; Metazoa; Chordata; Mammalia; Artiodactyla; Bovidae
Description: lncRNA (ENSBMUG00000010339.1)
Source: RNAcentral